GUCCUAGCCGUAAACGGUGAUCACUAGGUGUUGGAGGCAUCGACCCCUCCAGUGCCGCAGCUAACGCAUUAAGUGAUCCGCCUGGGGAGUACGGCCGCAAGGUUGAAACUCAAAGGAAUUGACGGGGGCCCGCACAAGCGGUGGAGCAUGUGGUUUAAUUCGACGCAACGCGAAGAACCUUACCCAGUCUUGACAUGUAUUGGACAGGUGUGGAAACACACCCUUCCUUCGGGACCAAUGCACAGGUGCUGCAUGGCUGUCGU
Molecule: ribosomal RNA, 263 nt
Filed under: uncultured bacterium
Lineage: Bacteria
Description: partial 16S ribosomal RNA
Rfam family: Bacterial small subunit ribosomal RNA
Source: RNAcentral